GUGGGGAAUCUUCCGCAAUGGACGAAAGUCUGACGGAGCGACGCCGCGUGAGUGAAGAAGGCCUUCGGGUCGUAAAGCUCUGUCAUCAGGGACGAAUGGCCGGUGGAGUGGAAAGCCACCGGAUUGACGGUACCUGAGAAGGAAGCCACGGCUAACUACGUGCCAGCAGCCGCGGUAAUACGUAGGUGGCAAGCGUUGUCCGGAAUUAUUGGGCGUAAAGCGCGCGCAGGUGGGAUCUUAAGUCCAUUUUGAAAGUUCGGAGCUCAACUCCGUGAUGGGAUGGAAACUGGGAUUCUUGAGUACCGGAGAGGAAAGCGGAAUUCCCCGUGUAGCGGUGAAAUGCGUAGAUAUGGGGAGGAACACCAGUGGCGAAGGCGGCUUUCUGGACUGUGUCUGACGCUGAGAUGCGAAAGCCAGGGUAGCGAACGGGAUUAGAAACCCUUGUAGUCC
RNAcentral lists this ribosomal RNA (450 nucleotides) under uncultured bacterium. Its description in RNAcentral is "partial 16S ribosomal RNA". It matches the Rfam family "Bacterial small subunit ribosomal RNA", at positions 354 to 796 of the family's 1533-position model. The record is from RNAcentral.